AGGACGAACGCUGGCGGCGUGCUUAACACAUGCAAGUCGAGCGGUAAGGCCCUUUCGGGGGUACACGAGCGGCGAACGGGUGAGUAACACGUGGGUGACCUGCCCUUAGCUCUGGGAUAAGCCUGGGAAACUGGGUCUAAUACCGGAUAUGACCUCGCGAUGCAUGUCGUGGGGUGGAAAGCCUUGUGCGGCUAGGGAUGGGCCCGCGGCCUAUCAGCUUGUUGGUGGGGUGAUGGCCUACCAAGGCGACGACGGGUAGCCGGCCUGAGAGGGCGACCGGCCACACUGGGACUGAGACACGGCCCAGACUCCUACGGGAGGCAGCAGCGGGGAAUCUUGCGCAAUGGGCGAAAGCCUGACGCAGCGACGCCGCGUGAGGGAUGACGGCCUUCGGUUGUAACCUCUUUCAGCCCUGACGAAGCGAAAGUGACGGUAGGGGCGAGAAGAAGCACCGGCCAACUACGCGCCAGCAGCCGCGGUAA
RNAcentral lists this ribosomal RNA (482 nucleotides) under uncultured bacterium. Its description in RNAcentral is "SSU rRNA". It matches the Rfam family "Bacterial small subunit ribosomal RNA", at positions 26 to 523 of the family's 1533-position model. The record is from RNAcentral.